GUUCCAAUAGUUUCCCAAAUCAUGCUGAUGCUGCCUCCUGAGAAAUAUUUUCAGAAUCACUGAGAAAAAUGUAUGAAAUAGUUAAUGUCCUUGCUCUGUGUCAGUGGUGGAGGCUGUCUGCAGUAGGAGCAUGGAGACCAACAAUGGAUGCUCUUAAACUGAUUUAAGCACGCUUCCAUGGUCAGAAGCCUUAUGGUUGCCACAGGGUAUUAGGAGCAUGGAGACCAAUAAUGGAUGUCCUUGUUCUGAUUUGAGGAUGCCUCCAAGGUCACAUACUCUGUUUGCACCACGCUUAGGAAGGAGCGUGAAGACCAAGGGGAGUAAUAGUCAAAGUCCUUACCUUUGUUUGGGUGGUUUGUUUAAGAGUAAUCAACGUAUUAUUUAAAAGUGUGAAAUACAGUCAAAGAUGGCCAAUGUUAUUCCAGUGAUAUGGGAGUGACAUGAAGUAUUAUAUUGAUGAUGCAUAUAUAAAAAACAGGAUAGUUAAUGAAACACCCAAUGUUUGAGUGAUUCUGUAUACUGAUAGGGAAUAUCAAGAGUGUUACUGGGUUUUGUGAAUCACGGGCCUUGAAAGUAUUAUUAAUGAAUAAAUGACAUAAUCAAUAGACAAGGUAGAAAUGAAUAG
Molecule: long non-coding RNA, 625 nt
Organism: Homo sapiens (human)
Lineage: Eukaryota; Metazoa; Chordata; Mammalia; Primates; Hominidae
Gene: MEG8
Product: maternally expressed 8, small nucleolar RNA host gene
Source: Ensembl